UUAGGAAUCUUGGACAAUGGGCGAAAGCCUGAUCCAGCCAUGCCGCGUGAGUGAUGAAGGCCUUCGGGUUGUAAAGCUCUUUAGCCGACGAAUAUAAUGACUGUAGUCGGAGAAUAAGCCCCGGCUAACUUCGUGCCAGCAGCCGCGGUAAUACGAAGGGGGCGAGCGUUGUUCGGAAUCACUGGGCGUAAAGCGUGCGUAGGCGGCGAGGAAAGUUAGGAGUGAAAGCCCAGGGCUCAACCUUGGAAUUGCUCUUAAAACUCCCUUGCUCGAAUAUCGGAGAGGAGAGCGGAAUUGUCAGUGUAGCAGUGAAAUGCGUAGAUAUUGACAGGAACACCAGUGGCGUAAGCGGCUCUCUGGACGAUUAUUGACGCUGAGGCACGAAAGCGUGGGGAUCAAACAGGAUUAGAUACCCGGGUAGUCC
RNAcentral lists this ribosomal RNA (424 nucleotides) under uncultured bacterium. Its description in RNAcentral is "bacterial SSU rRNA". It matches the Rfam family "Bacterial small subunit ribosomal RNA", at positions 355 to 796 of the family's 1533-position model. The record is from RNAcentral.